This 868-nucleotide ribosomal RNA is filed under the name uncultured bacterium. RNAcentral's name for it is "bacterial SSU rRNA". It matches the Rfam family "Bacterial small subunit ribosomal RNA", at positions 28 to 896 of the family's 1533-position model. The record is from RNAcentral.
GAUGAACGCUAGCGGCAGGCCUAAUACAUGCAAGUCGGACGGGAUUGAGGAGCUUGCUUUUCAUGAGAGUGGCGCACGGGUGCGUAACACGUAUGUAACCUACCUUGUUCAGGGGGAUAGCCUCUCGAAAGAGAGAUUAAGACCGCAUAAAAUCACAUUACAGCAUUGUAAAAUGAUCAAAUAUUUAUAGGAACAAGAUGGGCAUGCGGAACAUUAGCUAGUUGGUAAGGUAACGGCUUACCAAGGCUACGAUGUUUAGGGGAUCUGAGAGGAUGACCCCCCACACUGGUACUGAGACACGGACCAGACUCCUACGGGAGGCAGCAGUAAGGAAUAUUGGUCAAUGGGCGGAAGCCUGAACCAGCCAUGCCGCGUGCAGGAAGACGGCCCUAUGGGUUGUAAACUGCUUUUACAGGGGAAUAAACCUCGUUACGUGUAACGAGCUGAAUGUACUCUGAGAAUAAGGAUCGGCUAACUCCGUGCCAGCAGCCGCGGUAAUACGGAGGAUCCAAGCGUUAUCCGGAUUUAUUGGGUUUAAAGGGUGCGUAGGUGGCCUGUUAAGUCAGGGGUGAAAGACGGUAGCUCAACUAUCGCAGUGCCCUUGAUACUGACGGGCUUGAAUAAACUAGAGGUAGGCGGAAUGUGACAAGUAGCGGUGAAAUGCAUAGAUAUGUCACAGAACACCAAUUGCGAAGGCAGCUUACUAUGGUUUUAUUGACACUGAGGCACGAAAGCGUGGGGAUCAAACAGGAUUAGAUACCCUGGUAGUCCACGCCCUAAACGAUGAAUACUCGAUGUUGGCGAUAUACGGUCAGCGUCUAAGCGAAAGCGUUAAGUAUUCCACCUGGGGAGUACGCCCGCAAGGGUG